GACGAACGCUGGCGGCGUGCUUAACACGUGCAAGUCGAACGGAAAGGCCCUGCUUUUGUGGGGUGCUCGAGUGGCGAACGGGUGAGUAACACGUGAGUACCCUGCCCUCGACUUUGGGAUAACUUCAGGAAACUGGGGCUAAUACCGGAUAGGAGCUCCUGAUGCAAGGUGGGGGUUGGAAAGUUUCGGCGGUUGGGGAUGGACUCGCGGCUUAUCAGCUUGUUGGUGGGGUAGUGGCUUACCAAGGCUUUGACGGGUAGCCGGCCUGAGAGGUUGACCGGCCACAUUGGGACUGAGAGACGGCCCAGACUCCUACGGGAGGCAGCAGUGGGGAAUAUUGCACAAUGGGCGGAAGCCUGAUGCAGCAACGCCGCGUGCGGGAUGACGGCCUUCGGGUUGUAACCCGCUUUCGCCUGUGACGAAGCGUGAGUGACGGUAAUGGGUAAAGAAGCACCGGCUAACUACGUGCCAGCAGCCGCCGUAA
RNAcentral lists this ribosomal RNA (484 nucleotides) under uncultured bacterium. RNAcentral's name for it is "partial 16S ribosomal RNA". It matches the Rfam family "Bacterial small subunit ribosomal RNA", at positions 28 to 523 of the family's 1533-position model. The record is from RNAcentral.